UAACACGUGGGUAACCUGCCUUAUAGUGGGGGAUAGCCUUUCGAAAGGAAGAUUAAUACCGCAUAAGAUUGUAGUAUCGCAUGAUAUAGCAAUUAAAGGAGCAAUCCGCUAUAAGAUGGACCCGCGUCGCAUUAGCUAGUUGGUGAGGUAAUGGCUCACCAAGGCGACGAUGCGUAGCCGACCUGAGAGGGUGAACGGCCACAUUGGGACUGAGACACGGCCCAGACUCCUACGGGAGGCAGCAUG
This 246-nucleotide ribosomal RNA is filed under the name uncultured bacterium. RNAcentral's name for it is "partial 16S ribosomal RNA". It matches the Rfam family "Bacterial small subunit ribosomal RNA", at positions 111 to 353 of the family's 1533-position model. The record is from RNAcentral.